AAGACAUUAGUAAAUAAAUUACAUCACUUUGUCAAGGUGAAAUAGUGGGUUAAAUUCCCGCAUGUCUUA
RNAcentral lists this transfer RNA (69 nucleotides) under Botia dario (Bengal loach). Its description in RNAcentral is "tRNA-Asp". It matches the Rfam family "tRNA". From Rfam's summary of the family: Transfer RNA (tRNA) molecules are approximately 80 nucleotides in length. Their secondary structure includes four short double-helical elements and three loops (D, anti-codon, and T loops). Lineage: Eukaryota; Metazoa; Chordata; Actinopteri; Cypriniformes; Botiidae. The record is from RNAcentral.